Molecule: ribosomal RNA, 253 nt
Filed under: uncultured bacterium
Lineage: Bacteria
Description: partial 16S ribosomal RNA
Rfam family: Bacterial small subunit ribosomal RNA
Source: RNAcentral
GACGAACCGUACGAACGUUAUUCGGAAUCACUGGGCUUAAAGGGUGCGUAGGCGGCGCGACAAGUUGGGUGUGAAAUCCCUCGGCUCAACCGAGGAACUGCGCCCAAAACUGUCGUGCUCGAGGGAGACAGAGGUGAGCGGAACUUAGGGUGGAGCGGUGAAAUGCGUUGAUAUCCUAAGGAACACCGGUGGCGAAGGCGGCAUCCCGGACCGACACUGACACUGAGGAGCGAAAGCCAGGGGAGCAAACGGG